RNAcentral lists this ribosomal RNA (419 nucleotides) under bacterium. Its description in RNAcentral is "partial 16S ribosomal RNA". It matches the Rfam family "Bacterial small subunit ribosomal RNA", at positions 355 to 776 of the family's 1533-position model. The record is from RNAcentral.
UGGGGGAUAUUGCACAAUGGGCGAAAGCCUGAUGCAGCGACGCCGCGUGGGGGAUGAAGGCCUUCGGGUUGUAAACUUCUUUUGCUCUGAACAAGGCGCACCAUGGGGUGUGUUGAGUGUAGGGGUUGAUUAGCGCCGGCUAACUACGUGCCAGCAGCCGCGGUAAUACGUAGGGCGCGAGCGUUGUCCGGAAUUAUUGGGCGUAAAGGGCUUGUAGGUGGCUGGUUGCGUCUGUCGUGAAAGCUCAUGGCUUAACUGUGGGUUUGCGGUGGGUACGGGCUGGCUUGAGUGCAGUAGGGGAGGCUGGAAUUCCUGGUGUAGCGGUUGAAUGCGCAGAUAUCAGGAGGAAUACCGGUGGCGAAGGCGGGUCUCUGGGCUGUUACUGACACUGAGGAGCGAAAGCAUGGGGAGCGAACAGG